UCCGGUUUGGCACCGGCAGUCUCCCUAGAGUUCCCGGCAUCACCCGCUGGCAACUAAGGACAGGGGUUGCGCUCGUUGCGCCACUUAAGGCAACACCUCACGGCACGAGCCGACGACAGCCAUGCACCACCUGUGCAGGCUCCGUAGAGCGCCGGCUUUCACCGGCUUUACCCUGCAUGUCGAGCCCAGGUAAGGUUCUUCGCGUCGCAUCGAAUUAAGCCGCAUGCUCCGCCGCUUGUGCGGGCCCCCGUCAAUUCCUUUGAGUUUUAGCCUUGCGGCCGUACUCCCCAGGCGGGGUGCUUAAUGCGUUAGCUUCGGCACGGAUGGGGUCGAUACCCCCGACACCUAGUCCUCAUCGUUUACAGCGUGGACUAC
This 375-nucleotide unclassified non-coding RNA is filed under the name uncultured Actinomycetes bacterium. RNAcentral describes it as "uncultured actinobacterium contains 16S-23S intergenic spacer region". The record is from RNAcentral. Lineage: Bacteria; Bacillati; Actinomycetota; Actinomycetes.